RNAcentral lists this transfer RNA (51 nucleotides) under Dolomedes angustivirgatus. RNAcentral describes it as "tRNA-Glu". Lineage: Eukaryota; Metazoa; Arthropoda; Arachnida; Araneae; Dolomedidae. The record is from RNAcentral.
AUUAUAUUAGUGUAGAUCACAUCAUUAUUUCAUGAUGAAAACGUAUUUAGU